RNAcentral lists this ribosomal RNA (252 nucleotides) under uncultured bacterium. RNAcentral describes it as "partial 16S ribosomal RNA". It matches the Rfam family "Bacterial small subunit ribosomal RNA", at positions 524 to 776 of the family's 1533-position model. The record is from RNAcentral.
UACGGAGGGAGCUAGCGUUAUUCGGAAUUACUGGGCGUAAAGCGCACGUAGGCGGCUUUGUAAGUUAGAGGUGAAAGCCUGGAGCUCAACUCCAGAAUUGCCUUUAAGACUGCAUCGCUUGAAUCCAGGAGAGGUGAGUGGAAUUCCGAGUGUAGAGGUGAAAUUCGUAGAUAUUCGGAAGAACACCAGUGGCGAAGGCGGCUCACUGGACUGGUAUUGACGCUGAGGUGCGAAAGCGUGGGAGCAAACAGG